GGGGAAGUAGCUCAGUUGGUAGAGUGCUUGCCUCACAUGCAUAAGGCCCUGGGUUCAAUCCCCAGCACCA
Molecule: transfer RNA, 70 nt
Filed under: Ictidomys tridecemlineatus (thirteen-lined ground squirrel)
Lineage: Eukaryota; Metazoa; Chordata; Mammalia; Rodentia; Sciuridae
Description: Spermophilus tridecemlineatus (thirteen-lined ground squirrel) tRNA
Rfam family: tRNA
About the family: Transfer RNA (tRNA) molecules are approximately 80 nucleotides in length. Their secondary structure includes four short double-helical elements and three loops (D, anti-codon, and T loops). Further hydrogen bonds mediate the characteristic L-shaped molecular structure. tRNAs have two regions of fundamental functional importance: the anti-codon, which is responsible for specific mRNA codon recognition, and the 3' end, to which the tRNAs corresponding amino acid is attached (by aminoacyl-tRNA synthetases). tRNAs cope with the degeneracy of the genetic code in two manners: having more than one tRNA (with a specific anti-codon) for a particular amino acid; and 'wobble' base-pairing, i.e. permitting non-standard base-pairing at the 3rd anti-codon position.
Source: Rfam by way of RNAcentral